This 413-nucleotide ribosomal RNA is filed under the name uncultured Glomus from Thlaspi praecox. RNAcentral's name for it is "LSU rRNA". It matches the Rfam family "Eukaryotic large subunit ribosomal RNA", at positions 58 to 467 of the family's 3401-position model. The record is from RNAcentral. Lineage: Eukaryota; Fungi; Glomeromycota; Glomeromycetes; Glomerales; Glomeraceae.
AAAGAAAAUAACAGUGAUUCCCCUAGUAACUGCGAGUGAAGAGGGACAAGCUCAAAUUUUAAAUCUAUCGGGUUUUACCCGAUCGAGUUGUAAUUUGAAGAAGCGUUUUCUGCGUUUUUGAUCAGCCCAAGUCCUAUUGAAUGAGGCAUCAUGGAGGGUGAUAAUCCCGUCCGGUUGAUCAUUUGCGUUUUACGAUACGCUCUCUAAGAGUCAAGUUGUUUGGGAUUGCAGCUUAAAAUGGGAGGUAAAUUUCUCCAAAGGCUAAAUAACGGCGAGAGACCGAUAGCGAACAAGUACCGUGAGGGAAAGAUGAAAAGAACUUUGAAAAGGGAGUUAAACAGUACGUGAAAUUGUUGAAAGGGAAACGAUUGAAGCCAGUCGUACCUUCGGGUAAUCAGCCUUUCGGGUGCGAU